RNAcentral lists this ribosomal RNA (507 nucleotides) under uncultured bacterium. RNAcentral's name for it is "partial 16S ribosomal RNA". It matches the Rfam family "Bacterial small subunit ribosomal RNA", at positions 28 to 507 of the family's 1533-position model. The record is from RNAcentral.
GACGAACGCUGGCGGCGUGCCUAAUACAUGCAAGUCGAACGCAUUUUCUUUCACCGUAGCUUGCCACACCGAAAGAAACUUAGUGGCGAACGGGUGAGUAACACGUUGGUAACCUGCCCAUCAGCGGGGGAUAACACUUGGAAACAGGUGCUAAUACCGCAUAAUUCCAUUUACCGCAUGGUAGAUAGUUGACAGGCGCUUUUGCGUCACUGAUGGAUGGACCCGCGGUGCAUUAGCUAGUUGGUGGGGUACCGGCCUACCAAGGCUAGGAAGCAUAGCCGAACUGAGGGCGUGAUCGGCCACACUGGGACUGAGACACCGCCCAGACGGCUGCCGGAGGCAGCAGUAGGGAAUCUUCGGCAAUGGACGGAAGACUAACCGAGCAACGCCGCAAGAGUGAAGAAGGUUAUCGGAUCGUAAAACUCGGUUGUUAGAGAAGAAAAAGGAUGGGGGUAUACAGUUCAUCCCUUGUCGGUAACUAAACAGAAAGCCACGGCUAACUACGUG